RNAcentral lists this ribosomal RNA (425 nucleotides) under uncultured bacterium. RNAcentral's name for it is "partial 16S ribosomal RNA". It matches the Rfam family "Bacterial small subunit ribosomal RNA", at positions 354 to 796 of the family's 1533-position model. The record is from RNAcentral.
GUGAGGAAUAUUGGGCAAUGGGGGAAACCCUGACCCAGCGACGCCGCGUGAGGGAAGAAGGUCUUCGGAUUGUAAACCUCUGUCUUCGGGGACGAUAAUGACGGUACCCGGGGAGGAAGCCACGGCUAACUACGUGCCAGCAGCCGCGGUAAAACGUAGGUGGCAAGCGUUGUCCGGAAUUACUGGGUGUAAAGGGAGCGCAGGUGGGGCUGUAAGUCGAAUGUGAAAUCUAUGGGCUCAACUCAUAAAUUGCGUUCGAUACUAUAGUUCUUGAGUGGAGUAGAGGCAGGCGGAAUUCCCGGUGUAGCGGUGGAAUGCGUAGAUAUCGGGAGGAACACCAGUGGCGAAGGCGGCCUGCUGGGCUUUAACUGACACUGAGGCUCGAAAGCGUGGGUAGCAAACAGGAUUAGAAACCCCGGUAGUCC